CUGUUGCUAGGGGCGACUGACCCUGUCUUGCCAGAGGGGCGGGCCUGAGGGCCUUGGAGGGCUGGCUGGGUCGGAUACCCCGCCCCAAGGCGGCGGGUCACCGCGGCGGUGCCCGCGUCCGCGACCGAGUUGGGAAAUGCCCUGGGCGGCGGGCUGAUCCCCGAGGACGGCUUGGCUGCACAGAUUACAGAUCUGGGUGGCUGGAUCACAGGGAGUGCCUGCCAAGGGCGAAAGCCGAGAUUGCAUCUCCAGGGCCGCGCUGUGCGGGCAAGCGCCUCCCAGGCGAUGCUAAACCGGAGCUUCGGGAAGAAGCCGAGCUGCGGCGUCUUCAGCUGUGACCCAGCCGCCGGGCAUUCAGUCUACGAGCCUUCCAGCGUGCCUCUCGGGGCUGCAGGGGACUGGGCUCAGCAUUCUGGGGCGGGGGUGGGGGGGGGAGGUAAUGCAGCGGCCGCGGCUUGACCUUGAAGAGGUGGCGAGCUGAGGGCGUAGACCCUGGCCGACUGAGCGCAGCCCAAAUGAGGAUGGAAAGACAGGGUGGUGCAGAGGGUCGGGGAAGCGAAGCGAGACCUCUGAGGCCUCCGGGGACGAGGCAGAGGACUCUAACUGGAUUGGAACCGGAGGGCUGGAACUUUCUCGGGUGCCACACGCGACCAAGCUUAUCUGGACCGGAGAUGCUGGACGGAAUCCCUCAGUGCAGGGUGCCCAGGACGGAGUCCAGCCGGGCUGACUACACCUGCUGCUGAGCAUCUACCCGGUGCGCACACUGCAUCCGUUACUGCUGCGGUGCCCGAGUGAACACCGCGGCCUGAGUCAGCUAACGUGACCGGAGCACCCGAGUUGGCUAGCGACAGGGAUGGGACUUGCACGCGUCUCUGCAGCUCUGGCACCAGUCACCCUUGUAGUGGAUGACUUUCCGCUGCUGCUGCUCCUGACUACCUUGCUUCUUGUCUGGGCCAUUUCCUGCUCUAUUGAGCAUACACCUUUCACCUCCAGACUCUCCCAGCCAGGUUUGGGGCACCCAAAACCGCCAGGAACCAAGGUGCAGCCAGAGUUCCCUGCUUACCCAUGCAAAGGCGCGCUGCGGGGGCCCACGGUGGCCUCGGCCGGCACAGGGGCACAGACCUGCAAUCCCAGCACUUAGGAAGCUGAGAUCGGAGGGGUCAUGGGUCCUGGACCACAAGGCAAGAAUGCGACUGACACCACAACAAAAAAUAUUACUCUUCCCUCUUCGAUACUGCAAUUGCCACGAAAUAACUGUGCCACACUGUUGAACUAAAAUGUAGAUGUUAGCACGCAGGACUAAGCAGGAUCGCCGGGCCCACCAAGGUGGCUGUCCAGAAGACCUUCCCAGGUCAGAAAGGGGAGUCGAGGCAGCAACGUGGUGCAUAGGGGCACAGGAGCUGAGCAACAGCCAGGUGGGCUUGGGUGAAGGUCAAGAGUGCAGGUGGGGCUGCGAGGGUUUUAGCUCAGUGUUGUAAGUGCCCUUGCAAGUGCAAAGUCCUGAGUUCAAUCCCCAGUACCAAAAAAAAGUGCAGGUGGGGAGAGGGAGGCUGCAGGGAGGCAGCAGCCAACCUGCAGCAUGGCCCACAGUUUUGCACCCAUCCUGGGGAGCUGGGAAAGCACCCCCUUCAGACAGGAGCUGAGAGAAAGCACACCACAACCCAGAGCUCUCAGCACUGGCGAAGAAGCUGGGGGUGAGGAUUCCGCCCUGUGGCUUCUCACAAAGCCACAUCUGAGUCCGGUUAGGAAAUGAAAAUGGUAGCACCUAACCCAAGAUGCUUCUGGUGUCUGUAAGGUUAGAAAUGAGGAAAUACUUUGAGCUUUUUCUUGCACUUGAUUCAGGACACAUCAGGGCAGCCAGACCUGCUGGGUGGUGUACAUGUUAUCCUAGUAGUAAAGGAGGCUGAGGCAGAAGAAUCACUUUGAGUUCGAGGCCAGCCUGAGCAACAGUGCAACCCCAUCUCAAAAAGAGUGGGACUGGAGAGAGAAAAGUGCCACCUCCCAGUCAUUAGGAGACAACAACCAGAAAGCAAUAAGGCUUGGCAGGAGUGUGAGGAAAUGGGAACCUUUGUUCACUGCCUCUGGGAAGGUAAAAUGUGGCAGCCACUUUGGGGGACAGUAUGGUGACUCCUGAAACAAUUUAAAAUAGAAUUACCAUGUGGUCCAGCAAUUCCACUUCUGGCAGAUAUCUCAGAAGGGAGAGCAGGGUCCUGGCAGCUAGGCAAGGCGGUGUGCACCUCUAGUCCCAGCUGCGUGGGAGGCUGAGACAGGAAGGCCAUCCCUGCGGGCUGCCCUCCCCCUUUCCCACUUCUUCAUGCUGCUUCCUUCCCUUCACAGUGUUCACUGAGAGUCUACUUCGUGGGGAGCAGGAAAGGCACCUCCCAGGUGUCAUGGGGCGCACGUAAAAGUCAGGACCAGCAGCACUUCAGAACACAGGCACCGUGAAAAGAUUUAAAGGGAGGAAUGAUGGAGACCGAGGUCUCUGUGUAGUUUCAAUCUCACUGGUGUUUUUCUUUACAGUAGUAGAUACACAGUGCAGGCUAAAAAGGUAGGAAGGCACACACAGCUCUUAAACCGCGCCCCUCCGUCCUUCAGCAGUUGUUUUUUUUUUUUGUGUGUGUGUGUGUGUGCUUUCCCUACAUAGUCCAGGCUGGCCUCAAACUAGCGGCAUCCUCUGCCUCAUCCUCCCUAACCUGGGGUUACAGGCCUGCACCAACAUUCUGGACCGAUUUUUGCUUUUCAAAACACCAUUAAAAGGGAGUAAAAAGGCCUCAACCUGGGAGAUGUUAUAGAUCAUAAGGAUUCAGACCCAUCCUACAUAAAGAAUAUCCACAAUUUGGGCCGAGGAUUUAGCUCAGCAGCAUAAGCACCUGCCUGGCAAGCAGGAGGUCAUGAAUUCAACCCCAGUACCAAAAAAAUUAACAACUUAAGAAUAUCCGCAAUUUGCCAAGAUCAACAACCUAGUGGAACCAUAGACAAAAGAUAAGAACAAAUUGGGCUUUCUCUUGACAACUGGAAGCGGGAAGCCUGCCUGGUGGCCAGGCCAAGAUCCAGCACCAGCUUCGGAUCGGGUCGGAGAGUAGGCUUCUAGCUCUUAGGCAACUUCCUAGCUCCAGCUCUGCAGGGUCUUCCUCUGGGGGGAGGAAGAGGGCAGCCCUCUCUGGGGUCCCCCAGCACUUGUGACCUCUUCACCUCCCCAAGCUCACAAUCACCCUGCACCCCUGGCCAAAACCAGGAACACUGCCCCGAACACGUGUAGGAAUAUCCAGAGCACUGCAGCUUCUUUGGAAUCACUCUGGAAAUGCCCAAGUGUCUGUCUGCGGAGCAGAGAAUAAGGCGCAUGCGCACCAAGAAACGGCAGUGGUGAAGUAACUGCACUUGAGCUUCCCAAGCGAUUUCGGAAAAUAAUCUCUUGGUAGAGAGAUAAGAGAUAAAGCAACUCAUGGCAGAGGCACAACAUGAUUCCACAUGGAGCAAAGCAUGGGGUCAAGCUAUUGAAGGAAAAAAAAAAAAAAAGCCAGGCGCCAUGGUGCAGGGCCAUAACCUUGGCACUCGGGAGGAGACAAGAGGAUGAAUGCAAGUUCGAGGCCAGCCUUGUCUCAAAAAUCCAAAUCAAGCCAAAACCACACACAAGCUGCACAUGGUGCAUGGUGGCGUAUGCCUGUAAUUCUAGCACUCUGGGAAGCUGAGGCUGAAGGAUCUCAGGCGAGAGGAUCUGAUCCCAGCUGAGGCAAGUAGUACUGAGAAUUGAAUCCAGGAUCUUGUGCACGUUAAACAUGUACUCUACAUCCAUGCCACGCUAAGCUAAAUUCAGAAUGGAUCAAAGAUCCUCAUAUUGAACCCAAAUGUUAAAUCGCCCGGAAGAUGGAGUAGUAACCCUCCUGAAGACAUUGGUGUAGGCAAAGACUCUGUGAACAAAACCCCAACUGCACAGGAAAUGUCACAGGUAUUGACAACUGGGAUCUCACCCUACCAGAAAGGUUUUGCACAGCAAGAGAAACCACCAACAGAGUGAAGAGACAACUCAGAACAUGGGAGAAAAGGUUUGCCAGCUGUUCCUCAGACAAAGGAUUACCAUCGAGAACAUAUAAAGAACUCAAACAAAUCAGUCCUCCCAGAUGUAAAGACCUAACCCAAAAGUGGGCAUCUGAGAUGAAUACACACUUCUCAGAUGAAGAAACACAAACAGCAAAGAAAUAUGUGAAGAAUGUUCAACAUCACUGGUCCUUUGAGACAUGCAAAUUAAAACAACACUGAGAUUCCCCCUCACCCCAGAAAGAAUCACUACCAGAAAGAGAUCAAGAACAAAUGCUGGAGGGGCUGUGGGGAAAAAGGAACCCUUAAGGCUCCACUGUGGGUGGGGUGAAGACUGGUGCAGCCACUGUGGAAAUCAGGGUGGAGAGUCCUCAAAAAACUAGGACUACAGGUCUCUUUCAACCCAGCUAUUCCUACUCUUGGCACCCAAACAAUUAAAAAGUCAUACUGGGGUUGGGGAUUUAGCUCAGCAGUUCAGGCACUUGCCUAGUAUGUGCAAGGUUGUGAGUUCGAUCCCUGGUACCAAAAAAAAAAAAAAUCAUACCACAGCUAUAUAUGUGCACCCAUGUGUAUAGCAGCACAAUUUGUAAUACCCAGAUCUCGGAAACAACCCAAAUGCCUACCAACUGAGGAACAGAUAAAAAAGAUGUGAUAUUUUUAUACAAUGAGCACUACUUGGCCAUAAGAAUAAACUGGAGACUUUUAUAGGUAAAUGAAGGCAACUUGAAACCAUGCUCAUUAGUGAAAUAAAUCAGACUCACAUGUGUAAACAUCAUGUCUUAAUAGUGUGAAAGCUGAAAGAUACAUCUGUGCAACAUCUCUACCCUUCAACUGAUGACUCUAUUUUGAGUAUUUUUUUCAGUACUGGGGGAUGGAACCCAAAGCCCUGUACCUGCUAGGAAAGCACACUAUCUCUAAACUCUAACCUCAGCCCAAAUUUUAGCUUUUUUGUGGCCUUGAGCUCACUGUGUAGCCCAGGCUGGCCUUGAACUCACAGUUUUCUCCUGCCUCAGCCUCCUGAGUGCUGGGAUUACAGGCAUGUACUACCAAGUCCAGCCCUCUUUUGCCUGUUUUUGUUUUAUUUUAUUUUAUUUUUUGAGACAGGGUCUCACUACGUAGUUCACGCUAGCCUUGAGCUCACUGCAUAGCCCAGGCUGGCCUCAAACUUGCAGCAAUCCUCCUGCCUCAGCCUCCAACUGCUGGGACUACAGUCAUGCACCACUGGUUUUUUCCUUUUUUGGAGUACCAAGUUGCCUGUUUUUAAAUCGUCGUUUUGUUGCUGUUGAGUUGUCUGAGUUCCCUAUGUAGUUUGGAUAUCAGCCCCAUAUCUGUGUUUGAUUUACAAGCAUUUCUCCUGAUCCGAGGGUCCCCUUCACUGUCUUUCCUUUGUUAUGCUGUGCUCUUCACUUUGA
Molecule: long non-coding RNA, 5447 nt
Organism: Cavia porcellus (domestic guinea pig)
Lineage: Eukaryota; Metazoa; Chordata; Mammalia; Rodentia; Caviidae
Exons: 2
Source: RefSeq, a predicted model, not a curated record